UUUUUAGAGGGCGUAGUAAGGAAUAUAGCAAAACAUUAUAAAUCCCAAAUCACUUAUCUACAAAAUGAAUCAUCAUUACAACACAUAACCGGCCUGGUGAACAGAUAUUGUAUUUAUUAUAGUAUAAACGAGUUUAAUGUUCGAAAACGAUAUUAUGCAGAGCGAUUUGAACAGGUUAUUUUGUUUAUGUUAGCUAACGACAAUUUAUAUUAGGUUAGGUUGGGAUAGGACUAUUUCGGGUGUCAAUGAAACUUUCUUUAAAAAAAAACUGUAUUUAAUGAAAUAGUCGAAAUUUUACUUUUUUUAAAAAAUUAUUCAUUUUAAUUUAUGUUCUAAUUAGUAUCUUUAUCCAUAUUAUCCAGUAUAAGAAAUUAUAACAUUACAUGU
This is a long non-coding RNA of Rhopalosiphum padi (bird cherry-oat aphid), 387 nucleotides long. RefSeq lists it as uncharacterized. The record is from RefSeq and is a predicted model, not a curated record. The transcript is spliced from 3 exons. Lineage: Eukaryota; Metazoa; Arthropoda; Insecta; Hemiptera; Aphididae.